Physcomitrium patens is the source of this 1247-nucleotide non-coding RNA. The record is from RefSeq and is a predicted model, not a curated record. Lineage: Eukaryota; Viridiplantae; Streptophyta; Bryopsida; Funariales; Funariaceae.
AACCUGCAGCAUCCCAUUCGCUCUCCUUUCCUCCUCAGACUUCGAAUUCAUACACUAAGAUUAAAUCGAUAUUUAGACGACUUUCUCGAAAUUUGAUUCAAGCUUGUUUGUGUUUGUUUCUUUGUUUGUGGUUAAUCUCUUUUAUUUUGACAAUCGAAACUUGCUGUGGUUGACGAUCCAAACACCGAGUGCAAUCAAGUCUCGGCAUUGGACCAUCGCUCGAUUUGUUUGCUGUUGUCCGCGAUGUUAUGGAAUGAAAUUUUCUCUCACAGAAGCACGUUUUGCGAGUGCAGGCGCAGUAAGAUGGGGAGACGGUGGAAAGAGUGUGAAAUUCAUCGGGAACGGCUGACGAAUUUUAUAUUUCGUUUGAUAUUGUUGUAAAUUUAGCUUCGUUGGAGUUGUGUAGCGGGGUGUGGUUAUCACAAUGAGUUGCGGCUCUAUGCCAAAAAGGCUUUAAAGCGUUACGCUUCUGAGCCUUGCUGAACACACGCAUGCGUACAAGUAGGUCACCAUGCAGAUCGAGGAAGUGAUGCCAGAGCAGAGAGUUGAAGGUUUCGUGCGGAAGUUUGAUGUGAGAGAUUGGCGAGAUCCAGAGCUGAAUUUGUAUUUGACGUUGACAAGGGCCACAGACGGAGAGCCACCGGAAAAGGAGAAGAAACCUUGGAAGGAUCCAUAUGAUGAUCCUUUUCCUCUUUAUCGAAAAGAACCGGUAAUCAGACCUGCUACUCCACCGAUCAUCAAUGUCCAACACCAAGUGGUCAAGGUAUUGUCAUACAAAGAUCCCAGACCGUUGAAACAGAUGGUUAGGGAUACGCUCCGAUGUUUCCGAGACCACCCUAGGUAUACUUCGACAGACCCGAUCCGCGAGUAUCAGGAAGUCAUGGCUUGUUUUCAGUUGCGGUGUGCAGUUAUGCAGUGGCCUGAUAAACAUUUUUCAGAGAUGAGCGAGCAAGAAUACGAGGCCAUGGUGGAGCUUGCUGCGAAGCAUAUGACACUCACAGACUGCCCAGCUCAAGAGAUAGUUCAGCUUCAGGUCUAGUAAUUUCACAAUACAGUAACUAUCCUUAUUAUGAGGAUUAACAUCGACACCAUUUCUGCGGACAUGUUACAACGCAAGCAGCGUUUCAUUUUGCUAUGAAGGAAUUAGACCAAGAAAAUAGUUUAAGAAAUGCCGAGCUAAGCUCGACUGAGCAAGUCAUCUUGGAUACUAAGGUGAUCGAUAUUCGAAAAUAUUAUGAAACUGCAGA